RNAcentral lists this ribosomal RNA (406 nucleotides) under uncultured bacterium. RNAcentral describes it as "partial 16S ribosomal RNA". It matches the Rfam family "Bacterial small subunit ribosomal RNA", at positions 30 to 526 of the family's 1533-position model. The record is from RNAcentral.
AUUGAACGCUGGCGGCAGGCCUAACACAUGCAAGUCGGGCGAGCCGCGGACGGGUGUGUAAUGUAUGGGGAUCUGCCUGAUGGAGGGGGAUAACUACUGGAAACGGUAGCUAAUACCGCCUACCCUCAGAUGACCCCAUAUGGGAUUAGCUUGUAGGUGAGGUAACGGCUCACCUGGGCGACGAUCCCUAGCGGGUCUGAGAGGAUGAGCAGCCACACGUGGACUGAGACACGGCCCAGACUCCUACGGGAGGCAGCAGUGGGGAAUAGUGCACAAUGGGGGCAAGCCUGAUGCAGCCAUGCCGCGUGUAUGAAGAAGGCCUUCGGGUUGUAAAGUACGUGCAGUCGGGAGGCGUUACCGAAAGAAGAAGCACCGGCUAACUCCGUGCCAGCAGCCGCGGUAAUAC